UGGCGGACGGGUGAGUAACGCGUGGACAACCGACCCUCCGGACGGGGAUAGCCGCGGGAAACUGCGGAUAAUAUCGGAUACGACCCGGGGAGCGAAGGCGCUCCGGGGGAAAGCCGCUGCGGCGGCGCCGGGGGACGGGUCUGCGUCCCAUCAGCUAGACGGCGGGGUGAAGGCCCACCGUGGCGACGACGGGUAGCCGGCCUGAGAGGGUGGACGGCCACAUUGGGACUGAGAACGGCCCAGACUCCUACGGGAGGCAGCAGCUAAGGAUCUUCCGCAAUGGGCGAAAGCCUGACGGAGCGACGCCGCGUGGACGAUGGAGGCCGUGAGGUUGUAAAGUCCUUUUCCGUGGGGUGAAGAGCCGUGCCAGGGAAUGGGUGCGGGGUGACGUGACCACGGGAAUAAGCCCCGGCUAACUACGUGCCAGCAGCCGCGGUAAU
RNAcentral lists this ribosomal RNA (440 nucleotides) under bacterium enrichment culture clone N3h24. Its description in RNAcentral is "bacterial SSU rRNA". It matches the Rfam family "Bacterial small subunit ribosomal RNA", at positions 96 to 524 of the family's 1533-position model. The record is from RNAcentral.